This 393-nucleotide ribosomal RNA is filed under the name uncultured bacterium. RNAcentral's name for it is "bacterial SSU rRNA". It matches the Rfam family "Bacterial small subunit ribosomal RNA", at positions 30 to 425 of the family's 1533-position model. The record is from RNAcentral.
AUUGAACGCUGGCGGCAUGCUUUACACAUGCAAGUCGAACGGGGUUGGGAGCUUGCUUCCAAUCUAGUGGCGAACGGGUGAGUAAUACAUCGGAACGUACCGUGUAGUGGGGGAUAACGUAGCGAAAGUUACGCUAAUACCGCAUACGAUCCACGGAUGAAAGCAGGGGGACCUUCGGGCCUUGUGCUAUACGAGCGGCCGAUGUCUGAUUAGCUAGUUGGUGAGGUAAAGGCUCACCAAGGCGACGAUCAGUAGCGGGUCUGAGAGGAUGAUCCGCCACACUGGGACUGAGACACGGCCCAGACUCCUACGGGAGGCAGCAGUGGGGAAUUUUGGACAAUGGGCGCAAGCCUGAUCCAGCCAUGCCGCGUGUCUGAAGAAGGCCUUCGGUUG